RNAcentral lists this ribosomal RNA (253 nucleotides) under uncultured bacterium. RNAcentral describes it as "partial 16S ribosomal RNA". It matches the Rfam family "Bacterial small subunit ribosomal RNA", at positions 524 to 776 of the family's 1533-position model. The record is from RNAcentral.
UACGAAGGGGGCUAGCGUUGCUCGGAAUGGCUGGGCGUAAAGGGCGCGUAGGCGGUUUGUACAGUCAGAUGUGAAAUUCCUGGGCUUAACCUGGGGGCUGCAUUUGAUACGUGCAGACUUGAGUGAGGAAGAGGGUUGUGGAAUUCCCAGUGUAGAGGUGAAAUUCGUAGAUAUUGGGAAGAACACCGGUGGCGAAGGCGGCAACCUGGUCCUUGACUGACGCUGAGGCGCGAAAGCGUGGGGAGCAAACAGG